RNAcentral lists this ribosomal RNA (484 nucleotides) under uncultured bacterium. RNAcentral describes it as "partial 16S ribosomal RNA". It matches the Rfam family "Bacterial small subunit ribosomal RNA", at positions 35 to 507 of the family's 1533-position model. The record is from RNAcentral.
GGGGGGGGCGGGCGGGGGGCCGGGCGCGGGCAGGUCGGGCGGGUGCGGGGAGCUUGCUCCUGGGUUGCGCGGCGGCCGGGUUGUUGCUGCCUCGGACUCUGCCUGGUAGUGGGGGGUACCGUCCGCAAACGGGCUCUACUCCCGCAUCCUUCCUGCGUGCGCCCGUUUGUGCUCUUCGUACCUCACUCUCUCCUCUGAGCCUAGGUCGGCUUAGCUAGUGGUUGGGGUAACGGCCUACCAAGGCGACGAUCCGUAACUGGCCGGAGAGGAUGAUCAGUCACACUGGAACUGAGACACGGUCCAGAGGCCUACGGGAGGCAGCAGUGGGGAAUAUUGGACAAUGGGCGAAAGCCUGAGCCAGCCAUGCCGCGUGUGUGAAGAAGGUCUUCGGAUUGUAAAGCACUUUAAGUUGGGAGGAAGGGCAGUAAGUUAAUACCUUGCUGUUUUGACGUUACCAACAGAAUAAGCAACGGCUAACUUCGUG